GGAUGGGUGUCCGAGUGGCUAAAGGAGACGGACUGUAAAUCCGUUGGCGAAUGCCUACGUAGGUUCGAAUCCUACCCCAUCCACCA
This 86-nucleotide transfer RNA is filed under the name Alphaproteobacteria bacterium. RNAcentral's name for it is "tRNA-Tyr". It matches the Rfam family "tRNA". Rfam says of the family: Transfer RNA (tRNA) molecules are approximately 80 nucleotides in length. Lineage: Bacteria; Pseudomonadati; Pseudomonadota; Alphaproteobacteria. The record is from RNAcentral.